CGAGGAUUCUCCUAGUAACGGCGAGUGAACGGGGAAAAGCCCAGCGUCGAAUCCCUUGGCCGUUGGCCACUGGGAAUUGUGACGUAUAGGUGUGACUGUCCGGCUUUUUCGCUCACCCAAAGUCCCCUUGAGCGGGGCUACAGUCCUGAGAAGGUGCUAGACCUGUACGGGUGGUGAGAUGGUCGGUAGGUUGCUCCUUGGAGUCGGGUUGCCUGAGAUCGCAGCCCAAAGAGGGUGGUAAACCUCAUCUAAGGCUAAAUAUGACCACGAGACCGAUAGCAAACAAGUACCGUGAGGGAAAGUUGCAAAGAACUUUGAAGAGAGAGUUCAAGAGGGCGUGAAACCGCUGAGAUUGAAACGGAUAGAGUUGACGAAACUCGGCGGCAUUCAACCGGUUGAUCGAGCGGGCUUGCGGUCGCGGUCCUCGAUGAGGGUGCGGACGCUCGAGACUGCCUGCUCGACCGGUGCAUUUGCUGUCGGUAUGCGCCGGGAGCUUCGCUGCCGUCGGUUCAACCACGUUCAGAGGGCCGCCACAUCGGCGGUAACCUGUGCGCGGGUCGGCCGGCUGGCGGUGGAGUGAGCGCUUGUGUGCCGUCCCCGCUUCUGUGUGCGCUUGUCGUAGUUCGGUGUGGUGGGCCGUGGGCGGUCGCGUGCGAUCUGCUUGCGGUUCGUCUUGUCGAGUACGUGCGAGUGCGCUGGGAUGGCGUCCCGGUGUGAAAGUCGACCACCUAUCCGA
This 736-nucleotide ribosomal RNA is filed under the name Falcaustra sinensis. RNAcentral describes it as "eukaryotic LSU rRNA". It matches the Rfam family "Eukaryotic large subunit ribosomal RNA", at positions 69 to 647 of the family's 3401-position model. The record is from RNAcentral. Lineage: Eukaryota; Metazoa; Nematoda; Chromadorea; Rhabditida; Kathlaniidae.